This 8861-nucleotide long non-coding RNA is filed under the name Brassica napus (rape). Its description in RNAcentral is "long non-coding RNA (BNAP_LNC020821)". Lineage: Eukaryota; Viridiplantae; Streptophyta; Magnoliopsida; Brassicales; Brassicaceae. The record is from RNAcentral.
UAAACAGCAAAUUGUUAAACAAAAAGGAGUAUUUGUUGCUGUAACGAAAAAAAAAAGUGAAACUCGCCGGAAAACAAAGUAUGAACGUUUACGACGACGAGUCACUGAAGCAGGAGGUAAUCUACCUCCACUCCCUCUGGCACCAAGGCCCUCCCACCCGAAACCCGAUCCACGACCCGGUUCAGAGAUCCAGGCCCAAUUACAUCCCUCCGGCGGAUUUUCAGCUUCUCUCUCGCUACGGAGCCAACCCUAUUCACCCCCAACCUCCCCUCAGCAACAAGCGCUCCAGACCCGGGUCUGAUCGUGAAUGGCCCGUGAAGGAGCUCCCCCGUUAUCCCCCCACGGGCUGGCCCGAAGCCAAGCCGUGCAAAAAGGCUCGACCUUUAUCAGAUUCGGAGAAAAAGGAAGCGAGGGAAAAGUAUACAAGUUACAUAAGGCGCUGUACGGUCUUAAACAAGCACCACGAGCUUGGAAUGCAAAGUUAAAUAAGACACUACUUGAGCUCAAGUUCUCACGGUGCUUAAAAGAGCCGUCGGUAUAUCGCAAGACUAUCAAUGGAGACCUUUUAUGUGUUGCAGUCUACGUUGACGAUCUUUUUGUUACAGGAACAAACAUGAGGGUUAUAGACAACUUCAAACAAGAGAUGGCAACCAAGUUUGAGAUGAGUGACCUAGGGAAAUUAAGCUACUAUCUUGGGAUCGAAGUAAACCAACAUGAAGAUGGGAUUACUCUAAAUCAAAGCCGGUACGCAUUAAAGAUAUUGGAGGAGGCUGGCAUGAGCGACUGCAACGCAGUACAAAUACCUAUGGAUUCAGGUCUUAAGCUAUCAAAGUCAGAAGGAGAAAGAGAGAUAGAUGCGACAAACUACAGAAAGACCAUUGGAUGUUUUCGUUAUCUUCUUCAUACAAGACCAGACCUGUCCUACUGCAUUGGAGUCUUAAGCCGUUAUAUGCAAAGCCCCAGAGAGUCACACGGUAUUGCAAUGAAACAGUGCUUGAGAUAUUUGAAAGGCAGUACUUCGUAUGGCUUAACCUUUGAUCGUUCAACAUCAAACAUGAAGAAACUGGUUGGCUACAGUGAUAGUAGCCAUAACACUGAUCUUGAUGAUGGGAGAAGCACAACUGGCCACAUAUUCUACCUUGGUGAAAGCCCCAUCACGUGGUGCUCACAGAAACAAGACACGGUGGCAUUAUCUUCUUGUGAGGCCGAGUUUAUGGCUGGAACAGAGGCGGCAAGGCAGGCGAUUUGGCUUCAAGACUUGCUCAGUGAGAUCGUUGGAACAUCAUGUGAAAGAGUAGUCAUACGAAUAGAUAAUCAGUCAGCAAUAGCUCUUACUAAGAACCCGGUCUUCCAUGGUCGCAGUAAACAUAUACGCUCAAGAUAUCACUUCAUCAGAGAGUGUGUGGAGAAAGGAUUGAUUGAAGUUGAACAUGUUCCCGGAACGCAGCAGAAGGCGGACAUAUUGACUAAAGCUCUAGGGAGAGUUAAGUACAGAGAAAUGAGAGAGCUGAUCGGCAUGCAGGAUGUGGUGAAAGUGAACUUCAAGCUUAAGGGGGAGACUGUUGAGAUAAGCUUGAAAGAAGCUUAAGCUAGAAGUAAUCCUAUUCCUAUUUAUGAUAAGAUAACUUAGAGAUAAACAUGGAGUGUUUAGGAAGUUAUCUAAUAAGUGAGUUAUAUUAGGUUUAGGAUUACAUAUUCAUAUAUAUACAUGUCGUGUGUGACAUUGAGAGAUUGAGAGUGAUUUGUGAUUGUGAGAGCUUAAGUUUUUGAGCUAGUUUUCUUAAGCUAAUAAGAAGAGAUAUAUUCUUAUAAUCUUGUGAGUUCUUUACAAACGCUUUACAACAAUAGAGACUUCUGUACAAGCAUUAGUUGAAGGAACAAUAGGGUUUCUAGCUCCAGAAUCAGUAGUCACAGAAAGAUUCAACGAGCAGACGGAUGUUUUCGCCUUUGGUGCUACAUUAAUCGAGAUUUUGACUGGAAGGGAGCCUCAUAAUGUGUUUAUUGGAGCAUCUGAUUAUAUGACUAACCAUGACACUACUCCAGUUGCAGAGUCAUCUCUCAUAUCUGUCUCUUCGCCUAAAAGAAGAGAUCUUUUGAUGUUCUUGAAGGCCAUUCUGAUAAAAGAUGGGAAGGAUAAUGCAUUAGAGGCCAGCGCAGAGCUUGCUGCUAGCUGUGUGGAGAUAUUGCCAGAGAAGAGGCCAACGUUUGAAGAAGUAGCUAAGAAGCUGAAACACAUUCAGAACAUGUAAAGUAAGACAUUGUUUUUUUUUUUGGUGUGUCUAAAAUAAAGAAACGGGGUGAAAGUCCUAUUAUGUAGAGUUCAGUGGUGAAAAAAAUGGAAAAUAGUAUAUACUCCUUCCGUUUCAAAAAGUUACAUAUUCUAAAAAGAAAAUUUGUUCAAAAAGAUGCAUUUUUUUUCAUAUUUCGAGUGCAUUUUUGUCAACUAAUAAUGAAAAAUUAUGAACUUCAAGAACGUUAAUUGCAUUUCUUGAAGUUUUAUUGGUUUAGAAAUAUAUGAUAUAAAAUUACAAAAAACUAUGCAUUAACAACUAAGUUUUAUGAUGUUUUAUUAAUAAGUGUGAAAAUCCUAAAACAUGUAUUAUUUUGAAACAAAGAGAGUAUUUUACAACAAUUCUACCGAAGUAAACAAAAAUAUUUUGAUCGCCUCGCUGAACUGGCCCUACGGUUUCGGAUACUUCGUUUCAUUCGAGCUAUGUAUUAUUGGUUUGGGUGAGUUAUAUUCGGAGUAGCGGUCCUGGAAGGAAGCGGGGGAAGCACUUGAUUCUGGCUUUCCCAAAAUAAAUAAAAUAUCGACCUUUAUUUUCUUAAAAUCUUCAUUAGUCUAGGUGGCAAAGCAAGCAUAGUAUGUGUAUUUCUGAUCUUCGGUAAAUAGCUUUGUAACAAUCUUUUUUCCUAUUCUGGCCCAAUUAUUUUAUAAAGCUUCCGAUCCAAAUGUUUUUUACUAGUUUGAUGGUCGGGCCUGGUUCUGUUCAACAACAAUUCUACCAAAGUAAUCUGAAAAAUGUGAUUCAAUUUGAUGUUUAGUUUAAUUCGGCUUUCUAAAUUUCCGAAAUAACCAAAUUUAUGGGUUUCAGCUAUAUUUCAAUGUAUUUUCCAAAAAAAAACUCAAAAUAUUUUGGUUAAAUUUGGUUAUUUUAAUUAGUUCAGUUGUUUUGAUUAAUUUCAGAUAUUUCAAAUACUAUUAACUUUUAUAAUUUUGAAAACUGAAUCAAAACCUAAAACAAAAAAGUUCUGUUCGGUUCAAUCUGCACGCUUACAGAGAACUAUGGUAAACAUGUUACAAGUUUAUAGUUCAUUACCUAAAUUGUUCAAAACAGAGAUUUAGGGGGCUAUUAAUAAAAAGUAAAAGUAUAUGGUUUAACUAGUUACAAAGCAUAGAAAUAGAUUGAAGACUUUAUAAAGCAAAAGUUGAGGCGUUACAAUGCAAUAAACAGCAAAUUGUUAAACAAAAAGGAGUAUUUGUUGCUGUAACGAAAAAAAAAAGUGAAACUCGCCGGAAAACAAAGUAUGAACGUUUACGACGACGAGUCACUGAAGCAGGAGGUAAUCUACCUCCACUCCCUCUGGCACCAAGGCCCUCCCACCCGAAACCCGAUCCACGACCCGGUUCAGAGAUCCAGGCCCAAUUACAUCCCUCCGGCGGAUUUUCAGCUUCUCUCUCGCUACGGAGCCAACCCUAUUCACCCCCAACCUCCCCUCAGCAACAAGCGCUCCAGACCCGGGUCUGAUCGUGAAUGGCCCGUGAAGGAGCUCCCCCGUUAUCCCCCCACGGGCUGGCCCGAAGCCAAGCCGUGCAAAAAGGCUCGACCUUUAUCAGAUUCGGAGAAAGCGAAGCUCGCCGUGAGUCAGAUUCAGAGAGACACCCACCGCGCUUGCCGCGAGUUUUUCGGCAAGAGAGCAGCAACAUCUGGUGAAGAAUCGGAUGCUGAUGAUGGAGGAGGAGGAGGAGGAGGCGAGGAGUUUCAGUUUCUGUCGAGGCUGUUCGAGGAGAACGCGAAGCUGAAGGAGAGUUACGAGAAGAACACUGUGCACGGAGAAGUGUGGUGUCUCGUCUGUGGUGGGAGCGGGGAGAAGAGUGUGAGGAAGUUUAAGAACUGUUUGGCUUUGGUUCAGCAUUCGCUUGCUAUUCACAAGACUAUGAGGAAUCAGCAUAGGGCUCUUGCGCAGGUUGUGUGCAAUGUUCUUGGAUGGGAUGUUAACAAUCCUGUUGCUUCCAGCCAAAAAGACUCUCAGGUUAGAUCUAUACCUUCAAAAGAAGUUAGCAUUUGCAACUGUUACAUUGAUUUGGUUUAUGUUAUUAUGGUUAAUCAUAUUCUUUGGUAGCUUUUGAAAUAGUUUUGAUUAAUGUUCUAGAAAUCGCCAAGUGGUAAUUAGGUGCUAGAACUAGCUACUAGUCGGAUUAUUCUUCGAGAUGAAUCAUAUAAUUUGGUAGCUUUUGAAUAGUUUUGAUCAAUGUUCUAGAAAUCGUUAGGUGGUUACUAGGCUCUAGAACUAGCUACUAAUCAAAUUAUUGGGGACCUAGCCGAGGCCUCAACAUAUAUUUAUAUUUUACAUUUAUAUCAGAUAUUUUAUUUUUUGUGUCUAAUAAUAUAUCAUAUAUUGGAGUAUUAUUUUGUUGAAUUAUAAAAAUCAGAUAUACAAAAAAAAGAAAUUAGACAAAUUUAUGGAUUUGUACUAACAUUAUUGGCUGAUUAAACAGAUUUAGAGACCAAUUUUGACCGAUUUAGAAUGGUUUGAACCUAUUUGAGUCACAUAAAUUGGAUAUACAAAAAAAAAAAAUUAGACAAAGUUAUGGAUUUGUGCUAACAUUAUUGCCUGAUUAAACAGAUUUAGAGACCAAUUUUGACCCAUUUAGAAUGGUUUGAGUCACAUAAAUCGGAUUUCAAGAAAAUCGGGUUUUGAUCAUUUAGAAAUGGUUUUUUUGUUCUUUCCCUUCUCAGACAUUAGGGGUAGAGGCUGUGGAAGGUGCUACUGAGCUGCCUCAAGACCUAAAGAAGCUUCAGGAGAAACAACAUGUGAUGUCUGCUGAUGAACAAGCAAAGGCUGUUGUGUUACAAAUGCAGCAGAAUGCAUCAGAAGCUUUGAAAGGCAUUUCUGUCAAGGAUACUACUGGUUCAGUUGAGAAUGGUGAUGAACAAGUUUCCGAGGAGUUGGAGUCAAUAUCUCGACUCUUCUCAGAGAACGUUGAGCUGAAAAGUUACUACGAGAAAAACUCUGAAGGUGGACACUUUGUCUGCCUAGUGUGUUGUGCUGCGACUGAUAAGAAAAUGUUAAAGAGGUUCAAGCACUGUCAUGGACUUGUUCUGCACUCUACUAAAACCCCGAAAAUUGCAAUAAGAGCUCACAAGGCUUUUGCUCGGUUCGUCUGUAAACUGCUUGGCUGGGAGUUUGAUCAUCUUCCACGUAGAAUAGUGAAAGGUGGUGCUCCUCUUGUCGAAUCUAGUGCCAACCAGAACAAUGAGAAGCCAUCAUCGAUGAUCGAGGUAAGAAAUUUUACAAAGAGAACAACAACUCUUUUCUUAGUUCUUGUCCUAUUGUUCAUUAACUGAGUUGUGGUGUCACCUCAGGAACAUAUGAACGAAGACGAAGUCGAUGUUCCACAGGAAAAUAACGAGCCAUGCGUUGGAAAGUAGAUGGUAAGUAUGCUUACACACCUAAUCACUUUUUUUUUUGAUAUAGAAUCCUGUUUUUUGGGUUGCUUUCGGGCAUUCGUCUGGUUGAUCGAUUGGUUGUGUUUGAACAAGGAACUGAUGUUUUUGUCUUGUAUAAGCAGGAUGCAAGCACAACCAAAUAACACAUUGUUCUCUUCUGGGAGUUCAAUUUAAAGAUUCAAGAUAAACAAAGUUAUGUAAAUGGAGGGCACUGAAUCUUCAGGUACCAUUACUAGUUUUGUUCAUCUCAUAAGUCUUCUUAUGACUUGCCAGACUUGGUGCAGAGUCAUCAUUGACAAUGUGUAUACCAAACUUUUGAUUCUAAAAUUUUCAUUAGUUAAGAAUACUCUCUUCUUAUCAUUGAGAGAUUUGGAGUAUUCUAAUCUUGAAAUUUUAAAGAUACUUGAAAAGAAAAUGUUGCCAGACAUUGUGAGGCCGAGUUUAUGGCUGGAACAGAGGCGGCAAGGCAGGCGAUUUGGCUUCAAGACUUGCUCAGUGAGAUCGUUGGAACAUCAUGUGAAAGAGUAGUCAUACGAAUAGAUAAUCAGUCAGCAAUAGCUCUUACUAAGAACCCGGUCUUCCAUGGUCGCAGUAAACAUAUACGCUCAAGAUAUCACUUCAUCAGAGAGUGUGUGGAGAAAGGAUUGAUUGAAGUUGAACAUGUUCCCGGAACGCAGCAGAAGGCGGACAUAUUGACUAAAGCUCUAGGGAGAGUUAAGUACAGAGAAAUGAGAGAGCUGAUCGGCAUGCAGGAUGUGGUGAAAGUGAACUUCAAGCUUAAGGGGGAGACUGUUGAGAUAAGCUUGAAAGAAGCUUAAGCUAGAAGUAAUCCUAUUCCUAUUUAUGAUAAGAUAACUUAGAGAUAAACAUGGAGUGUUUAGGAAGUUAUCUAAUAAGUGAGUUAUAUUAGGUUUAGGAUUACAUAUUCAUAUAUAUACAUGUCGUGUGUGACAUUGAGAGAUUGAGAGUGAUUUGUGAUUGUGAGAGCUUAAGUUUUUGAGCUAGUUUUCUUAAGCUAAUAAGAAGAGAUAUAUUCUUAUAAUCUUGUGAGUUCUUUACAAACGCUUUACAACAAUAGAGACUUCUGUACAAGCAUUAGUUGAAGGAACAAUAGGGUUUCUAGCUCCAGAAUCAGUAGUCACAGAAAGAUUCAACGAGCAGACGGAUGUUUUCGCCUUUGGUGCUACAUUAAUCGAGAUUUUGACUGGAAGGGAGCCUCAUAAUGUGUUUAUUGGAGCAUCUGAUUAUAUGACUAACCAUGACACUACUCCAGUUGCAGAGUCAUCUCUCAUAUCUGUCUCUUCGCCUAAAAGAAGAGAUCUUUUGAUGUUCUUGAAGGCCAUUCUGAUAAAAGAUGGGAAGGAUAAUGCAUUAGAGGCCAGCGCAGAGCUUGCUGCUAGCUGUGUGGAGAUAUUGCCAGAGAAGAGGCCAACGUUUGAAGAAGUAGCUAAGAAGCUGAAACACAUUCAGAACAUGUAAAGUAAGACAUUGUUUUUUUUUUUGGUGUGUCUAAAAUAAAGAAACGGGGUGAAAGUCCUAUUAUGUAGAGUUCAGUGGUGAAAAAAAUGGAAAAUAGUAUAUACUCCUUCCGUUUCAAAAAGUUACAUAUUCUAAAAAGAAAAUUUGUUCAAAAAGAUGCAUUUUUUUUCAUAUUUCGAGUGCAUUUUUGUCAACUAAUAAUGAAAAAUUAUGAACUUCAAGAACGUUAAUUGCAUUUCUUGAAGUUUUAUUGGUUUAGAAAUAUAUGAUAUAAAAUUACAAAAAACUAUGCAUUAACAACUAAGUUUUAUGAUGUUUUAUUAAUAAGUGUGAAAAUCCUAAAACAUGUAUUAUUUUGAAACAAAGAGAGUAUUUUACAACAAUUCUACCGAAGUAAACAAAAAUAUUUUGAUCGCCUCGCUGAACUGGCCCUACGGUUUCGGAUACUUCGUUUCAUUCGAGCUAUGUAUUAUUGGUUUGGGUGAGUUAUAUUCGGAGUAGCGGUCCUGGAAGGAAGCGGGGGAAGCACUUGAUUCUGGCUUUCCCAAAAUAAAUAAAAUAUCGACCUUUAUUUUCUUAAAAUCUUCAUUAGUCUAGGUGGCAAAGCAAGCAUAGUAUGUGUAUUUCUGAUCUUCGGUAAAUAGCUUUGUAACAAUCUUUUUUCCUAUUCUGGCCCAAUUAUUUUAUAAAGCUUCCGAUCCAAAUGUUUUUUACUAGUUUGAUGGUCGGGCCUGGUUCUGUUCAACAACAAUUCUACCAAAGUAAUCUGAAAAAUGUGAUUCAAUUUGAUGUUUAGUUUAAUUCGGCUUUCUAAAUUUCCGAAAUAACCAAAUUUAUGGGUUUCAGCUAUAUUUCAAUGUAUUUUCCAAAAAAAAACUCAAAAUAUUUUGGUUAAAUUUGGUUAUUUUAAUUAGUUCAGUUGUUUUGAUUAAUUUCAGAUAUUUCAAAUACUAUUAACUUUUAUAAUUUUGAAAACUGAAUCAAAACCUAAAACAAAAAAGUUCUGUUCGGUUCAAUCUGCACGCUUACAGAGAACUAUGGUAAACAUGUUACAAGUUUAUAGUUCAUUACCUAAAUUGUUCAAAACAGAGAUUUAGGGGGCUAUUAAUAAAAAGUAAAAGUAUAUGGUUUAACUAGUUACAAAGCAUAGAAAUAGAUUGAAGACUUUAUAAAGCAAAAGUUGAGGCGUUACAAUGCAAUAAACAGCAAAUUGUUAAACAAAAAGGAGUAUUUGUUGCUGUAACGAAAAAAAAAAGUGAAACUCGCCGGAAAACAAAGUAUGAACGUUUACGACGACGAGUCACUGAAGCAGGAGGUAAUCUACCUCCACUCCCUCUGGCACCAAGGCCCUCCCACCCGAAACCCGAUCCACGACCCGGUUCAGAGAUCCAGGCCCAAUUACAUCCCUCCGGCGGAUUUUCAGCUUCUCUCUCGCUACGGAGCCAACCCUAUUCACCCCCAACCUCCCCUCAGCAACAAGCGCUCCAGACCCGGGUCUGAUCGUGAAUGGCCCGUGAAGGAGCUCCCCCGUUAUCCCCCCACGGGCUGGCCCGAAGCCAAGCCGUGCAAAAAGGCUCGACCUUUAUCAGAUUCGGAGAAAGCGAAGCUCGCCGUGAGUCAGAUUCAGAGAGACACCCACCGCGCUUGCCGCGAGUUUUUCGGCAAGAGAGCAGCAACAUCUGGUGAAGAAUCGGAUGCUGAUGAUGGAGG